Molecule: long non-coding RNA, 599 nt
Filed under: Elaeis guineensis (African oil palm)
Lineage: Eukaryota; Viridiplantae; Streptophyta; Magnoliopsida; Arecales; Arecaceae
Description: long non-coding RNA (EGUI_LNC075786)
Source: RNAcentral
AACACAUUUUUUUCUCCAAAGUCCUGUAGAGUAUUCUAAUAUACAUAUUUGACCUCAAUUAGAAUGCCCGUGCCACAAUCAAUGAUGCACGAACGUGGGGCAUGUGCACGUGCACACAUGCAUGCGAGCCCGGACACAUGCAUGGGAGGGAGGACCAGUUCAUUACUAGCAACAGAGUCAAGUACAUAGAAAGGGCGAAAUACAGUCAAAAAAAUGUUACCGUCAAACUGAUCCAUCGAAGAGUCUAGAUGUAUUUCUCCAUAUCUUGCUAAAAUGUGGCAAUACAGGAUCAGCAUACACUCAGACAGCUCUCAUAAUGGGGACUGAUAACAGUGACUCGAAAUGGAUUGGCUUGACUACAAGGCGGGGACCAUGUGUACGCAAGAGAGGCAAAUAGGGACAUUGCUGAGUGAGCCAGGGUUUCUGUCAGGCCUUGCUUUCCUUGGGUCAUGCCUGGGGCUUGGUCCCGCAUAACCAUACGAUGUCCCCCGGAGACUUUCUUGCGCGCACUAGGGUCCGAAGAAUUAAAUAAAGUACAACUCCUUGAGUAAAUUACAAUGUUACCAAAGAAAAAUACAUCAUAUGGCAUGCAUGAAACU